RNAcentral lists this transfer RNA (74 nucleotides) under Planctomycetota bacterium. Its description in RNAcentral is "tRNA-Gly". It matches the Rfam family "tRNA". From Rfam's summary of the family: Transfer RNA (tRNA) molecules are approximately 80 nucleotides in length. Their secondary structure includes four short double-helical elements and three loops (D, anti-codon, and T loops). The record is from RNAcentral. Lineage: Bacteria; Pseudomonadati; Planctomycetota.
GCGGGCGUAGCUCAGUGGUAGAGCUCCGGCUUCCCAAGCCGGUUACGAGGGUCCGAUUCCCUUCGCCCGCUCCA